AGCUGUUGGAGAGAUAAAACCAAAAAAUCAGAUCUCAGUCUCACUUCUCCGAAAGCCGAGAUAGAAAAUAGGAGAAAGGAGUGCUGAAAUUUUUCAUAUGAUUUGUUGAAGAAUUGAAAUACUUAGUGAUUCUACCAAUUUUUUAGAUUCAUAUGGGGAUUUGAUUUAUAAUAAUUGAUUCUACUGAAUGACUAGAUUGAAAUCUAUAAUUGAAAUCUCAUGUUAUUUUUUUCAUCAUGAAAAUUUAAAAAAGUUGAGCUGGGUUUCUUAAAUUUGAUCAACAGAGUCGAAAUUUAGGAAGAUAUUUCCAUGCCAAAGUGUUGAAGUUUGGUUUUCACUUGUUGAUAUGUUAUGGAUGUAGAUGCGUGCAAAAUUAGAACCCACAAAGUUCCGGAUGUGGAUGCGUGCAAAGUUACACAACGUCGAAAAGUUGAAGUGAAAGCUGGAGUGGAAUUUGAUAAGGUAACAGGAAUCAGAACCCACAAAAGCUUCCAUGCAUCAGUGGUCCAAGCAGCUGGAUAUGAGAAACUUUCAUUUGAUGAAAAAGAUGUUAGAAAUUUUUGAUUAACAAUCAAAUUCCUCUACUGUAAUUCUGAAUCUGAAUUGUAAACUUUGCAUCAUAUUUUCAUAUAAUUGUGAUUGUAGACUUUGAGUAAUUUUUUCUUAAUUCAAAUUCAGAGUUUUUUCUAUA
Long non-coding RNA from Papaver somniferum (opium poppy), 691 nucleotides. RefSeq lists it as uncharacterized. NCBI's taxonomy places the organism in Eukaryota, Viridiplantae, Streptophyta, Magnoliopsida, Ranunculales, Papaveraceae. The record is from RefSeq and is a predicted model, not a curated record. The transcript is spliced from 3 exons.